AUGAUAGAAAAUGCAUCGAAAUAUAGUUGACCGGGAAAUAUGAUUGAAAAUCCAUCGAUUUUUGGUUGACCGGGAGAUCAACGGGUGGUAUACCCAACGUACUGCACCGGACACAGCUCAUUUCUGGACCCUUGGCACAAGCGUACAGGUAAGCUUGCUUAAUGUUCGAUAUGAAUCCAGACAGCACAGGCACGCGGUGUGUUUUUAUACAGUCUGUGGGCAGCUGAAGAGACUGGCUCAUUUUCAAAUAAUGUUACCGUUAACUUGUUUAGACAACGGUCACGGUAAAUUAAUGUUAAAGCCUUGAGUUUCCAGCAGUUUCUCGGAGGGAAAAUGUAAAAGCAGUUUAUUAAAGAGAAGUCCUGACUGCUUUUUCGUCGUGUUUUUCACUCUUUUACAGGCUGCCAGAAAGAAUCCGUCUCUAUAGUGAGUGAUUAUUGAAUGAGGCUGUACAUUAUAAAUGUAAUGUUUUAACUCGAGAUGUUUGUUUGUGUGAAUGCUGUGUGUGCGCUGAGUUCUGCGCGAGCGGGGAGCAGAGUUGCCAUGGAAACGGGGCGUCAACACAAAAACCGUUACUGGCAAGCAGUAAUCUCCGUCUCUUGCUGCGGUUUACGCUGUUUUAGGAGGACAGAAAUAAACUAUACAGAACAAAGUGAAACUCCAAGAUUUUUGAAAAGAAAAUUGGUGAAAUAUAUUCUGAAAAAGGCAUAUUAAUGUAUUUCAUGAGCUUCUUCAGUAAAUCUGUAUUUCUAAGUCAGUAUCUCCCUUCAGAAAUGUUGCUGAAGGGAGAUACUGACUUAGAAAUGCAGGUGAACUCAUGAAAAUAAGCUCAUGAAAUACAUUAAUAUGCCUUUUUCAGAAUAUAUUUCACCAAUUUUAAGGAGUCCCUGACAUCAAAACAUUGCUUGUUUUGUUCCUGGACUCUUCAGUGAUGAUGAGCAGAGUCUGAGUGAACCUGCUGUCAGACAAUCACUAUUGCACACCAAAUGCUCUUACUCAGCAGAUGGGGACAGCUACCAUCACCCAAUUUUCACCCAAAAGUGUCUGCGCUAUGGGCCAGACCGGGCAGGAGGGACUGGACGACAACUUAUGCAGGCAUCAGAUGACAAUGAAGUGUAAAUAAAGAGUAGAGGCUAAUAAACAGGAAUUUGAUUUUAAAUAGUGUGGUGUGUUCUGUGUUUUAUACAAGAUUUUAAAUGUUCUAUUAAUUUUUAACAUCCUGGCUGUAGAUAAAGCAGGCUAUUUAAUUUAUGGCAUUACAUUUAAAAUUAACAUUUAAAAAUGAUUGAAAUUCCAUUGAAAUCACGUUGAUCCUUAGUUCAGUUGAAAUUUCAACAUUGUUUCAAUAUUCCUGAUAAUUGAAAUACCAUUGAAAUUCCGUUGAUCUAUGGACAGAAUUUCAACAUUGUUUCAAUAUUAAAUCAGGGUGCAAAAUGAUGUUGGAUCAACAUCAGAGUUCGAUGUUGAUUCAAUGACUUAAUGUUGACAACGGGAUGUUGAUUCAGCAUAGUUUCAAUGACUGUUUGCUA
Long non-coding RNA from Carassius gibelio (silver crucian carp), 1529 nucleotides. RefSeq lists it as uncharacterized. The transcript has 5 exons. NCBI's taxonomy places the organism in Eukaryota, Metazoa, Chordata, Actinopteri, Cypriniformes, Cyprinidae. The record is from RefSeq and is a predicted model, not a curated record.